Molecule: long non-coding RNA, 1162 nt
Filed under: Equus caballus (horse)
Lineage: Eukaryota; Metazoa; Chordata; Mammalia; Perissodactyla; Equidae
Description: lncRNA (ENSECAG00000045737.1)
Source: RNAcentral
ACUACAUCUCCCCCUCGGCGUUGUCCUUGUUCCAUGAAGCUACUCCAUCCGCGAACAUCUCAAGGUCUGGGUUUCCCAAUGGCAGGUCUGUCAGAUGGGGACAGCUGGAUCAAACUUGUUUAGUUAUCUGAAUACCACCAUGGACAGGUUCUUCAGGACUAGUGGGAAGUGGAGUGGCUGGAUUUAAGGUCGAGACUGCUGUCUGAGUGACGUUAGGAUUGUCGAGCAGUAUGGCUUGACACUUGCCUAACCUCGCAGAGGACACAGUUGGAAACAUUAGUUGUAUUACAAAGGCUUUGACUGGAAUGUCAUAUCUGAGAGAAACAUACAGGCUCAGAGAUGACAAGACAGCUUCUCAGGAACAAAGAUUGAGCUUUAUGGAAUAAAGCCCCUUGGAAAUAUUGGCUUGGUAUCUUGUUCACAGAGAUUCCAGCAAUCUUACCUGUUUCACCUCCUGGACCACUUCUCAUCAAAUGAUUCUCGUCUCCAGAGGAUCUGUAUACCUUGUCAGCCUUGGACUCCAUGGGUGCAACCUUCCGGUGCACUGAACUUCCUGCCUAUACCCCUAUGGCCCAAUUUAGGGACAGCUCUACGACCUUGUACAGAUGAAAGUAGUUACAGAAGAUUGACCAUCGUCCAUAUCCCCAAAAGAUUUUGGGGCCAAAUAGGUUCGGGGGGGUGGUUUAUGAUGAGAAUCAAGGCUGCCCCAGGGAGAGAAGCACAAGGUGUCCUGCCCCACAUACUGAUCUAUAUCAUCCUCUGGGAAGCAUAGGACGUCCUGACCUGAUCUGAUCUGAUUCUCGUGUAAAGUUAUAGGACCACCCAAUAACCAGACCCCACCUACACUGAUACCAUUUUAACAAGUUUUUUACAUAAUCUUUCCUUUGUCUUGUGAAGAAAUAAUUCACAUACCUAUGCCUCAGAUUUAGCCCUGCCCUCAACCCAUUGCAGCUCUCACUGCCCAUGGGUCCUGUCCCCAUGCUGCAGCUCUUCACUACCCACCGCUCCUGUCCCCAUGCUAUUCUCUGAAUAAAGGAGCACUACUACCAGACCUUGAGAGUCCAAGAAAUCUUUCUUUCAACUCCUCGGCUCACUGAGCCUGCAUCACAUAAAAUCUUUGUCCUCCCAAGAUCUCAGUCCAGGGAGAGAGAGAGAAAGAGAA